ACCUAGGAGAACUGGUGUACCUUUGAUUUAAUUUGUAUGGGAUUAUGAAGUUGUAUUAUAUGGUGUAAUACUUCCUGGGAGAUCUUCUGUUUUAACAGAUGGUUAAACCAGAAGUUAUUUGAAUAAAGUUUGUUGAUCUUUCAAAAAAAAGUAACUCCGCUUAUAAACCAUCUAUCGAUGAAGGUUCCAUCAGCUGAUUCUUUCCACACUGACGGCCGUUAGUGGAGUGAAGAAGAAACGAGGUGGCUGCAAGAUAAUUGGACGGAAACGUCAAAAAAUAACUCCACAAAAGCAAGCGUGGGACGGCCGUAACUCGUCCACUGCCGUAAUGUUAUUAGCACCAUUAUAUAUAUUUAUUUAAUUAUUUGUCAUUAC
Molecule: long non-coding RNA, 375 nt
Filed under: Helianthus annuus (common sunflower)
Lineage: Eukaryota; Viridiplantae; Streptophyta; Magnoliopsida; Asterales; Asteraceae
Description: sRNA HanXRQr2_Chr12g0533421
Source: RNAcentral